RNAcentral lists this ribosomal RNA (392 nucleotides) under uncultured bacterium. Its description in RNAcentral is "partial 16S ribosomal RNA". It matches the Rfam family "Bacterial small subunit ribosomal RNA", at positions 523 to 918 of the family's 1533-position model. The record is from RNAcentral.
AUACGUAGGGGCCUGACGUUGUUCGGAAUCAUUGGGCGUAAAGGGCGCGCAGGCGGCCGUCCAAGUCCGGUGUUAAAUGGUCGGGCUCAACCCGAUCAUGCGCUGGAAACUGGGCGGCUGGAGUCCCGGAGGGGAUGCCGGAAUUCCAGGUGUAGGGGUGAAAUCUGGAGAUAUCUGGAAGAACACCGAUGGCGAAGGCCGGCAUCUGGCCGGAGACUGACGCUGAGGCGCGAAGGCGCGGGGAGCGAACAGGUUUAGAUACCCUGGUAGUCCGCGCAGUAGACGAUGCGCACCAGGUGUCGGGCGGCAGCGCCCGGUACCGGAGCAAACGCGAUGAGUGCGCCGCCUGGGGAGUAUGCCCGCAAGGGUGAAACUUAAAGGAAUUGACGGGG